UCCAUUGAGUGGGCUUAGGAAUGUUUCUCCUCCUCCAAAAGGCUCACUUGGACUUGUUUACCAGGCAGCAGCAUUCUGGGUGGCCUACUCUCAGAAUGUGUGCAAUGUUGCUUCUGCCACCUUCUACUGGUCAAGGGAACAGUCUAAUCCCUGGAAUAGAGCUGCCAUUUCUUCCCAUUGUGCACCUGCGACCACCCAGAGUGAAGAUAGAAGAAACUCCUAGGGGAAAAAUUCAGGAUGAAAGAUAAAGGAAGGAAGAUCCAGGCAAAAGGCACAGCACUCCACCUGACAACUUUUCCAAUUUAUCCAAAUCCAAAUCAUUUGUAUAAAUUCCCAUUCAAACAGAACUACAUGAAGAUGUUCCUUUGCCAAAAUAUCUAUACAAUCGUGUAAAAAAACCAAUUUGUUAAACAUAAAAAUCAAGUGGAAACUA
Microcebus murinus (gray mouse lemur) is the source of this 433-nucleotide long non-coding RNA. RefSeq lists it as uncharacterized. Lineage: Eukaryota; Metazoa; Chordata; Mammalia; Primates; Cheirogaleidae. The record is from RefSeq and is a predicted model, not a curated record.